CCGAGAAUAUUCCGCAAUGGACGAAAGUCUGACGGAGCGACGCCGCGUGAUGGAUGAAGUGCUUCGGUACGUAAACAUCUUUUAUCGGGGACGAAAUUAUUGACGGUACCCGAUGAAUAAGGGGCUCCUAACUCUGUGCCAGCAGGAGCGGUAAUACAGAGGCCCCGAGCGUUACCCGGAAUCACUGGGCGUAAAGGGUGUCCAGGUGGUCGUAUUAGUCGUUUGUAAAAUCCGUGAGCUUAACUUACGGUCCGCAAGCGAAACGGUACGACUCGAGAGCGCGAGAGGUGCAUGGAACUCAUGGUGGAGGGGUGAAAUCCGUUGAUAUCAUGGGGAACACCAAAGGCGAAGGCAGUGCACUGGCGCGUUUCUGACACUCACACACGAAAGCCAGGGGAUCGAACGGGAUUAGAUACCCGUGUAGUCC
This 427-nucleotide ribosomal RNA is filed under the name uncultured bacterium. RNAcentral's name for it is "bacterial SSU rRNA". It matches the Rfam family "Bacterial small subunit ribosomal RNA", at positions 355 to 796 of the family's 1533-position model. The record is from RNAcentral.